GUCUACGGCCAUACCAUCGAGAAAACACCGGUUCUCGUCCGAUCACCGAAGUUAAGCUCGAUUGGGCAAUCUGGAAGAAGAUUAUUUCCGGCCUCGUGUGAUAUCUUUGACGAAUGUACUUGUUGUCA
This 128-nucleotide ribosomal RNA is filed under the name Nematostella vectensis (starlet sea anemone). The record is from RNAcentral. Lineage: Eukaryota; Metazoa; Cnidaria; Anthozoa; Actiniaria; Edwardsiidae.